This 253-nucleotide ribosomal RNA is filed under the name uncultured bacterium. Its description in RNAcentral is "partial 16S ribosomal RNA". It matches the Rfam family "Bacterial small subunit ribosomal RNA", at positions 524 to 776 of the family's 1533-position model. The record is from RNAcentral.
UACGAAGGGGGCUAGCGUUGCUCGGAAUCACUGGGCGUAAAGGGUUCGUAGGCGGGUCUUUAAGUCAGGGGUGAAAUCCUGGAGCUCAACUCCAGAACUGCCUUUGAUACUGAGGAUCUUGAGUUCGGGAGAGGUGAGUGGAACUGCGAGUGUAGAGGUGAAAUUCGUAGAUAUUCGCAAGAACACCAGUGGCGAAGGCGGCUCACUGGCCCGAUACUGACGCUGAGGCACGAAAGCGUGGGGAGCAAACAGG